RNAcentral lists this small nucleolar RNA (124 nucleotides) under Catagonus wagneri (Chacoan peccary). Lineage: Eukaryota; Metazoa; Chordata; Mammalia; Artiodactyla; Tayassuidae. The record is from RNAcentral.
GCUCUGAGUUCAGUUCAGGGCAGCCUCCCCGGUCUGUUAAUGAAACUCUGGGACAUUGAACUGGCUAGGGUAGAUGAUUGCAUAGAAAAUACUACUCUAUCCAUUUACCUCCCAGCUUACGGAA